UACGUAGGCAGCGAGCGUUGUUCGGAAUUACUGGGCGUAAAGAGUGUGUAGGCGGUGCUCUAAGUUCGGUGUGAAAUCUCCUGGCUCAACUGGGAGGGUGCGCCGGAAACUGGAGUGCUUGAGCGUGGGAGAGGAAAGCGGAAUUCCUGGUGUAGCGGUGAAAUGCGUAGAUAUCAGGAGGAACACCUGUGGUGUAGACGGCUUUCUGGGCCAUAGCUGACGCUGAGGAGCGAAAAGCAUGGGGAGCGAACAGG
RNAcentral lists this ribosomal RNA (254 nucleotides) under uncultured bacterium. RNAcentral's name for it is "partial 16S ribosomal RNA". It matches the Rfam family "Bacterial small subunit ribosomal RNA", at positions 524 to 776 of the family's 1533-position model. The record is from RNAcentral.